UGGCUGAAAAAGCAACAUUAUCAGCGCC
RNAcentral lists this small RNA (28 nucleotides) under Bombyx mori (domestic silkworm). RNAcentral describes it as "ovarian small RNA-34929". The record is from RNAcentral. Lineage: Eukaryota; Metazoa; Arthropoda; Insecta; Lepidoptera; Bombycidae.